GACGAACGCUGGCGGCGUGCUUAAUACAUGCAAGUCGAACGGAAAGGCCCUGCUUUUGUGGGGUGCUCGAGUGGCGAACGGGUGAGUAACACGUGAGUAACCUGCCCUUGACUUUGGGAUAACUUCAGGAAACUGGGGCUAAUACCGGAUAGGAGCUCCUGCUGCAUGGUGGGGGUUGGAAAGUUUCGGCGGUUGGGGAUGGACUCGCGGCUUAUCAGCUUGUUGGUGGGGUAGUGGCUUACCAAGGCUUUGACGGGUAGCCGGCCUGAGAGGGUGACCGGCCACAUUGGGACUGAGAUACGGCCCAGACUCCUACGGGAGGCAGAAGUGGGGAAUAUUGCACAAUGGGCGGAAGCCUGAUGCAGCAACGCCGCGUGCGGGAUGACGGCCUUCGGGUUGUAAACCGCUUUCGCCUGUGACGAAGCGUGAGUGACGGUAAUGGGUAAAGAAGCACCGGCUAACUACGUG
RNAcentral lists this ribosomal RNA (468 nucleotides) under uncultured bacterium. RNAcentral's name for it is "partial 16S ribosomal RNA". It matches the Rfam family "Bacterial small subunit ribosomal RNA", at positions 28 to 507 of the family's 1533-position model. The record is from RNAcentral.